GUCUCUUCAGAGAUAUACGAUAAAAUUAAAAUGAUACAGAAAAGAUUAGCACAGCCCAUUCACAAAGAUGACAUACAUAAAUUGAGAAAUGUCCUAUGCAAGG
Molecule: small nuclear RNA, 103 nt
Organism: Nymphaea colorata (pocket water lily)
Lineage: Eukaryota; Viridiplantae; Streptophyta; Magnoliopsida; Nymphaeales; Nymphaeaceae
Source: RefSeq, a predicted model, not a curated record